AUUUCCCCACAUUUCCGCACAGGUCCUCUGCAGAUGGCAGAGCCCUUUCUCUAAAUGCAUGGCAUGAAAAGGCAUUUCAAAGGGAGAAGCAGGCCCCCCACAAAGGACAUAAAUCUCUACAGAUGAGGAUACCUCACUGGGCUUUUGUUUGUCAGCCAAAAAGGGAAAAACAUUUCAGCAGAGGCCUCAAAGGCAGAACAAAAUAGUGCAAGGAGCCGCACAUCCGCACAGGGCUGAGACCCUGCCCAGGACAAGCUCGACAAAAAAGAAGAAAAUUGGGUCUUGUUAUGUUGCCCAGGCUGGUCUCCAACUCCUGGCCUCAAGUGAUCCUCCCAGCUUGUCCUUCCAAAGUGUUGGGAUUAUAGGUGUGAGCCACUGUGCCUGGCCAUGUCUGAAUGUUGAAUGUUGACAGCUUCAGUGAAUUGACCCCUCUUUCACCUAUGGGACUUAUGAAGAGAGAAUGUUUCUGGCAUUGCAUAAUCCUUCCCAAGAGUACUUUAGCUGUGGUAACCCUUCUUGUUAUAAAACAUGCCAGGUAUGAUGAUGGAGAUCAGCUGAGCUGGACUUAGAAUCUUCUCUAAGAACAUUUACAGGCACUCAGUGUUAACAGCAGGGCAGAUGUAGGUUUCUGGGAACCUGAGGCUUAUAGGAACUGGAGUUCAUUGUAAGAAAAAGAAUAUCAAAUUAUGAAGACAAAAUUAGGCAUCAAUGUGAAUAUUAAUUUAGGAGAAAUCACAACAAAUCACACAUCCUGAAAAGCUAACAAAUACUGCAUACAUUGCAGAAUCUAGAAGCAUAACAAUAUUUGUAUUGGUUAACUUGGACGUAUCACUAUUGUAUGCUUUUUUUCUACAUUUUUGGGCUAUAUUUUUUUCCUAUUCUUUUUGAUUGAUGUCCUUGUAGUAGUGGCUACAUGUUAGUAGCCACUAACCCUAGUAGUAACUAAUCCUAGUAGUAGGGUUCAUGUUAUUGUUGUCGAUGUCUGUAUUUUGUGAUCAAAUCACCAAGAUUGCAAAUCCUUUUUUCAACAUAUUCAUAUGAUUCACUCCCCUUCAUUAAAUUGGGUUAUUCAAACAAUUAUGCUCCAAAUUUAUCUCUUCCUCUUAAUCAAGUACUAUUUUGGCAUGAUCUGAUUUUUAUAAUUAUUCUCUCUUCUCAUCUUUAUUAUUUAUAUUUUCUUAGCUAUUAUGAUUCUUCUUCUCAAUUUCAUGCUUUUGUCUAUCAGGCUUUUUAGCUUCUGUUGUGAUAGAACAAAAGAGUUUUUGACAUUUUGUAACUUCUUCCAGGCUUUUAUCUUUCGGUUUUUGUCUGAGACUUCUACUAGGAUGUUUUCUUCUCAACACACUUGAUUUUUGUAUAGUUAAUAAUUUUGAAAUAAAGGCAUUCUCAAGAGCAGUUCAAAUGC
This is a long non-coding RNA of Pan troglodytes (chimpanzee), 1405 nucleotides long. RefSeq lists it as uncharacterized. NCBI's taxonomy places the organism in Eukaryota, Metazoa, Chordata, Mammalia, Primates, Hominidae. The transcript has 4 exons. The record is from RefSeq and is a predicted model, not a curated record.